This 699-nucleotide ribosomal RNA is filed under the name uncultured bacterium. RNAcentral describes it as "bacterial SSU rRNA". It matches the Rfam family "Bacterial small subunit ribosomal RNA", at positions 102 to 784 of the family's 1533-position model. The record is from RNAcentral.
ACGGGUGCGUAACACGUGAGCAACCUGCCUUGGGGUGGGGGAUAACCCGUGGAAACGCGGGCUAAUACCGCAUGCCCUCAUCUGGUGGAGCCACCGGAUGAGGAAAGGGGCUUAACGGCCCUGCCUUGAGAGGGGCUCGCGGCGUAUCAGCUAGCUGGUGGGGUAACGGCCUACCAGGGCAACGACGCGUAGCCGAUCUGAGAGGAUGAUCGGCCACAUUGGGACUGAGAUACGGCCCAGACUCCUACGGGAGGCAGCAGUGGGGAAUCUUGCGCAAUGGGCGAAAGCCUGACGCAGCGACGCCGCGUGGGGGAGGAAGCUUUUCGGAGUGUAAACCCCUGUCAGGAGGGAAGAAUGGUCAUCCGAGGAAAUGCGGGUGAUUUGACGGUACCUCCAAAGGAAGCACCGGCUAUCUCUGUGCCAGCAGCCGCGGUAAUACAGAGGGUGCGAGCGUUGUUCGGAAUUACUGGGCGUAAAGCGCGCGCAGGCGGCCUUUUAAGUCUACCCGUGAAAUGCCGGAGCUCAACUCCGUGCACGCCGGGGGAUACUGGAGGGCUGGAGACAGGUAGAGGCAGGCGGAAUUCCGGGUGUAGCGGUGGAAUGCGUAGAGAUCCGGAAGAACACCAGAGGCGAAGGCGGCCUGCUGGGCCUUGUCUGACGCUGAGGCGCGAAAGCGUGGGGAGCGAACAGGAUUAGAUA